RNAcentral lists this ribosomal RNA (452 nucleotides) under uncultured bacterium. Its description in RNAcentral is "bacterial SSU rRNA". It matches the Rfam family "Bacterial small subunit ribosomal RNA", at positions 340 to 786 of the family's 1533-position model. The record is from RNAcentral.
UACGGGAGGCAGCAGUGGGGAAUAUUGCACAAUGGGCGCAAGCCUGAUGCAGCCAUGCCGCGUGUAUGAAGAAGGCCUUCGGGUUGUAAAGUACUUUCAGUCGUGAGGAAGGUGUUAAGGUUAAUAACCUUAGCAAUUGACGUUAGCGACAGAAGAAGCACCGGCUAACUCCGUGCCAGCAGCCGCGGUAAUACGGAGGGUGCGAGCGUUAAUCGGAAUUACUGGGCGUAAAGGGCACGCAGGCGGUUAAUUAAGUUGGAUGUGAAAUCCCCGGGCUUAACCUGGGAAUGGCAUUCAAGACUGGUUAGCUAGAGUCUUGUAGAGGGGGUAGAAUUCCAUGUGUAGCGGUGAAAUGCGUAGAGAUGUGGAGGAAUACCGGUGGCGAAGGCGGCCCCUGGACAAGACUGACGCUCAUGUGCGAAAGCGUGGGGAGCAAACAGGGAUUAGAUACC